CACGGGGGGAGCAAGCGUUGUUCGGAAUUACUGGGCGUAAAGGGCGUGUAGGCGGUCAAGUAAGUGGAAUGUGAAACGCCUCGGCUUACCCGAGGACCUGCAUCCCAAACUGCUUGGCUUGAGUAUGGGAGAGGAUGAGGGAAUUCCUGGUGUAGCGGUGAAAUGCGUAGAUAUCAGGAGGAACACCGGUGGCGAAGGCGGAUCUCUGGGCCAUUACUGACGCUGAGGAGCGAAAGCGUGGGGAGCGAACAGG
RNAcentral lists this ribosomal RNA (253 nucleotides) under uncultured bacterium. Its description in RNAcentral is "partial 16S ribosomal RNA". It matches the Rfam family "Bacterial small subunit ribosomal RNA", at positions 524 to 776 of the family's 1533-position model. The record is from RNAcentral.